UAGAAACAAAAUUAGAACUGAUUUUCAACAAGGCUACUUGGACCUUUCAGUGGGAGAAAGAAGAAUAUUUCCAACAAGGGUCUUGGUCAACUGGACAGCUUCAUGAAAAAAGUUAGCUUAGAUUCUUAAGUCACACCACAUACAAAAAUUAAUUCAAAAUUGAUCAAAGACCCAAGUGUAAGAAUGAAAAGUAUAAGACUCUUAGCAAAAACCUAGGACUAAAUCUUCCUAUUAGAGUUACCAGUGGACUUUUAGACAUGACACCAAAUGCAAAAUAAUAAUAAUAAUAAUAAUAGAGGAAAAAAUUGGAGUUUAAAAAGCUGCUCAGUAUAUACAGGAACCAAACAUCACAUUGUAUCUCAUAAAUAAUUGUAAAUAUUAUGUAUCAAUCAAAAGUAUAAUAAAAUAAUAAGUCUCUAUGUUCUAAAAGACUCUAUUAAGAGAAUGAAAAGGAAACUCAGAAUGAGAGAAAAUGUCUGCAAAUCUUAUAUCUGGUAAGAUACUUGUAUCUAAAAUAUAAAAAGACUUUUACAAUUUAUAUAAGAUAAAUGACUCAAUAUAAAAAUGGGCAAAGAAACUGAUACUUCUCCAUUGAAUAUUUACAAACGUCCAGUCAGUACAAAGAAACAAAUGGAUGGCAUUGUGAGUCACAGAGAAAUACAAAUAAAAAACACAGACUUCACUACGUAUCCAUCAGGAUGGCUAGAAUU
This 710-nucleotide long non-coding RNA is filed under the name Marmota monax (woodchuck). Lineage: Eukaryota; Metazoa; Chordata; Mammalia; Rodentia; Sciuridae. The record is from RNAcentral.